AUUGAACGCUGGCGGCAUGCCUUACACAUGCAAGUCGAACGGCAGCACGGGUGCUUGCACCUGGUGGCGAGUGGCGAACGGGUGAGUAAUACAUCGGAACAUGUCCUGUAGUGGGGGAUAGCCCGGCGAAAGCCGGAUUAAUACCGCAGACGAUCUACGGAUGAAAGCGGGGGACCUUCGGGCCUCGCGCUAUAGGGUUGGCCGAUAGCUGAUUAGCUAGUUGGUGGGGUAUAGGCCUACCAAGGCGACGAUCAGUAGCUGGUCUGAGAGGACGACCAGCCACACUGGGACUGAGACACGGCCCAGACUCCUACGGGAGGCAGCAGUGGGGAAUUUUGGACAAUGGGCGAAAGCCUAAUCCAGCAAUGCCGCGUGUGUGAAGAAGGCCUUCUGGUUGUAAAGCACUUUUGUCCGGAAAGAAAUCCUUGGCUCUAAUACAGUCUGGGGAUGACGGUACCGGAAGAAUAAGCACCGGCUAACUACGUG
This 486-nucleotide ribosomal RNA is filed under the name uncultured bacterium. Its description in RNAcentral is "partial 16S ribosomal RNA". It matches the Rfam family "Bacterial small subunit ribosomal RNA", at positions 30 to 507 of the family's 1533-position model. The record is from RNAcentral.